GAGGAAUAUUGCGCAAUGGGGGAAACCCUGACGCAGCGACGCCGCGUGAGUGAGGAAGGCCUUCGGGUCGUAAAGCUCUGUCAAAGGGAAAGAAGUGCAUGGUGGCUAAUACCUGUCAUGUUUGACGGUACCCUUAAAGGAAGCACCGGCUAACUCCGUGCCAGCAGCCGCGGUAAUACGGAGGGUGCAAGCGUUGUUCGGAAUCACUGGGCGUAAAGGGCGCGUAGGCGGUUUGAUAAGUCAGAUGUGAAAGCCCACGGCUUAACUGUGGAAGUGCAUUUGAAACUGUCAGACUUGAGUAUCAGAGGGGAAAGUGGAAUUCCCGGUGUAGAGGUGAAAUUCGUAGAUAUCGGGAGGAAUACCGGUGGCGAAGGCGACUUUCUGGCUGAAUACUGACGCUGAGGCGCGAAAGCGUGGGGAGCAAAC
This 426-nucleotide ribosomal RNA is filed under the name uncultured bacterium. RNAcentral's name for it is "bacterial SSU rRNA". It matches the Rfam family "Bacterial small subunit ribosomal RNA", at positions 356 to 773 of the family's 1533-position model. The record is from RNAcentral.